AACGAACGCUGGCGGCAUGCUUAACACAUGCAAGUGGAACGAGACCUUCGGGUCUGGUGGCGCAGGGGUGGUUAACGGGGGGGAACUGGCCCUUAGGUUGGGAAUAACUCCCCGAAAGGGGUGCUAAAACGGGAUAAGUCUUCGGGACCAAAGAUUUAUCGCCUUUGGUUGGGCCCGCGUUGGAUUAGCUAGUUGGUAGGGUAAAGGCCUACCAAGGCGACGAUCCAUAGCUGGUCUGAGAGGAUGAUCAGCCACACUGGGACUGAGACACGGCCCAGACUCCUACGGGAGGCAGCAGUGGGGAAUAUUGGACAAUGGGCGAAAGCCUGAUCCAGCAAUGCCGCGUGAGUGAUGAAGGCCUUAGGGUUGUAAAGCUCUUUUACCCGGGAUGAUAAUGACAGUACCGGGAGAAUAAGCUCCGGCUAACUCCGU
Molecule: ribosomal RNA, 432 nt
Filed under: uncultured bacterium
Lineage: Bacteria
Description: partial 16S ribosomal RNA
Rfam family: Bacterial small subunit ribosomal RNA
Source: RNAcentral